This 613-nucleotide long non-coding RNA is filed under the name Oryza sativa (Asian cultivated rice). RNAcentral's name for it is "long non-coding RNA (OSAT_LNC001118)". Lineage: Eukaryota; Viridiplantae; Streptophyta; Magnoliopsida; Poales; Poaceae. The record is from RNAcentral.
UUUAACACUAGCAGAAUAUAAAUUAAUUACCUCCAGUUCAGCCAUUGCGAAGACGAGACUAGUUCCAGUGUCUAAAUAUUCUUGAACCUUAUCAUGCAUUACUUUCAGUUUGGUAAAUCUUUUUCAUGGCGGCAAGCGGAUAAUUUUCCGAAUCUUCUCAGGAUGCCCAACAAACAAUUUCAGCACGCAACCUUAUUCAGAUUCUGAUACAGUGUGAUGAACACAAUGGACUAGAGUCAAUAAAGAUCCAACUCAUGCACAAAAUUGCCACUACUACAGCUCUAUCACCAAUAUAUACACAGCAAUUGCGAUAGCAACAGAUCGACAGGCCGAUAGAAAGAUCAGCUCAACACAAGACUGCUCAGAAAACCAAUGCACACUUCUUCUGUGCAGUGUUCUCUGCACUUGCUGGCCAAUGUAUCCUGAUUCAUCAAUCAUCUACAUCUUUUGUCAGGAUAUAUAUAUAUAUAUAUAUAUAUAUAUAUAUAUAUAUAUAUAUAUAUAUAUAUAUAUAUAUAUAUAUAUAUAUAUAUAUAUAUAUAUAUAUAUACAUGAAGGUAUAUGAACAUGGGCUAUUUCUACAUUUCUACAACCAAAUGUGAUGAUGGACCAU